CCUACGGGAGGCAGCAGUGAGGAAUAUUGGUCAAUGGGCGGAAGCCUGAACCAGCCAAGUAGCGUGCAGGAUGACGGCCCUACGGGUUGUAAACUGCUUUUAUACGGGAAUAACGCGCCUUACGUGUAGGGCUUUGCAUGUACCGUAUGAAUAAGGACCGGCUCAUUCCGUGCCAGCAGCCGCGGUAAUACGGAAGGUCCGGGCGUUAUCCGGCUUUAUUGGGGUUAAAGGGAGCGUAGGCCGCAUGUCAAGCGUGCUGUGAAAUGUCCGGGCUCAACCCGGGCCUUGCAGCGCGAACUGGCGUGCUUGCGUCCGCGGUAAGCAGGCGGAAUUCGUCUUGUAGCGGUGCAAUGCUUAGAUAUGAC
Molecule: ribosomal RNA, 365 nt
Filed under: uncultured bacterium
Lineage: Bacteria
Description: partial 16S ribosomal RNA
Rfam family: Bacterial small subunit ribosomal RNA
Source: RNAcentral